Sarcophilus harrisii (Tasmanian devil) is the source of this 2770-nucleotide long non-coding RNA. The record is from Ensembl. NCBI's taxonomy places the organism in Eukaryota, Metazoa, Chordata, Mammalia, Dasyuromorphia, Dasyuridae.
GUAAUAAGUAGCAGUCAAGCCUGGAACCUUAAUCUGAUUCUGAAUCUGGAACACUUGAUUCCACAUUCAGUAAAGCAUUUUGUAAUCCUUAAAGCUCUAUGGGAUUGAGAGUCCUUUUUAUUGGCAUUAUUUUUCCCAUCAGAUCUUUUUGUAAAAACUAUUAAAUUUAAAAAGCUCAGCCUCCUGGCUUUGGUAAAUUGCUCUUCCUCCUGUCCGGCUUCAGAGAGGACUGCCCCCCCCUUCUCCCCUCCACGGAGUGACCCCUUUCUUCCUGUACUCCCCACCCUACAGGUGGGUUCCUCCCCGUUUUCUUUUCCCCCAAUUUUUACAAGUGGGUUCCUCCCCGUUUUCUUUUCCCCCAAUUCUACAGGUUGUUCUUCUCGUACUUGGUCUCCCCCCCCCCAACUCAAAAGUGAUUCCUCCCACCCCGUUCCCCUCUUUCACAUCCUUAGCGAAGCUUCCUGAUUAUCCCCAGCCGCCACGGCUCGGCCGCCCCUCUCCCCGCCAGCCAGGGGUUCACGCCCCGUGCUCCCCGACUCCCCUCGGUUCUGGGGAGGGGGCUCCACAGCACGGGAGGGGCGGGGCCGUUCCUCGAUGGCACGAGGGGAGGGGGAGGGGGCGGGGCCGCAAAGAGUCCGUUGGGCGCCGGCCGAAGGAGAGGUGCGGUGAGGGACCGCUCCGCAACUUUCCCUGCACGUUCAUGGUCUCCCUGGAUCCUGCCUGGCCGGCCGACAGGCAUGUCGGGAGAUGGGGAAGAGGAAGACGCCUUUGGUCCCAAGGAUGUCCUGCUCUAUUCCCCUGACGGCGGCCCCUUUGUGGAGGAGGCGGAGGGGGGCGGCUCUGGGAUGAGUUGGGCUUGGGAACCGAGCACAACCUCCUCUCAGUGGAGCCUGGAGCCCGAAGCCAACGGGAGCAAGCCCCUGGGGAUGGACUGUCAGGAGGACAGCGACCCGGUGGAGGAAGCCCUUCAAGAUUCACAGACGGUGGGCGAGGGUGCAGAUCCUGAGACCUGUAUCCUGGGCCCGGUUGGAGGGGCUCAGGAGGAGGGUGAGGACUCGCUGCUGUUUCCGGAUCUUCACAUCCAGCCUUCUCUUGCGCCCGUGGAGAGGAAAGCACAGUUCUUAGAGAAGCUUCACGUGGCUUUACACGACAUCUUAGCCGAAAACUGGGGGAAGAAGCUUGGCCAUGUGGCCCAGAGCAUCGGACUCACAGGAAAGGGGGAGAAGUCGGUGGAGGCGGCCCCUAAGCCCCGGAAGAUCCCUGGAGAUGAGCUGCCCGAGGAGAGAUCUCCAGAACCCGACCAAGGACUCCCCAUCAACCAUGUGGAGAGCCCCCCUGAGAUGAGAUGGCUCACCCCAGUGGCUUUUCCCGAGUGUCUCUCUGAGGUGUGUGAACAGGGCAUCUUCUCUCGCCUGGCCCUGGAGCAGGAGACCCCUGUGGACUGUACCCUGGACAAUUGUGAGGAGACAAAGGAAGGAGAACAGAUGAAAAGACAACAGCCCGACACUUCACCUUCUUCCCCUAGCUUGGCCCUGGUGAGGGCAAAUAAAAAAAGCAGGCUGUCGACCACCUCCAGAGAGGUGAGGAAGAGGAAAAACCUCCGGGAAGAAGAAUCCUGGAAGAGAAACGAAAGCGGCCGAGCAGGGGGGGCGGACCCCAAGACUCCAGCAAGCCCCUUUCCAAAGAGCAGUCAGGAGACUUGUGGACCAGUGGGAGACGUUGCUGGGACCUCCCCAACCGCUGAAAGAGAGCGUAAGCAAAUGGGAAAGACCCAGCCAUGGACCUGCUCGCAGAAAGCCUCUUCUCUGCAUGAUGCUCUCUUGCCCAACAGGGCUGAAAGUGGGGAGGCCCCUGGUCGCACUCCCAUCAAGGGUCAGAGAGGCACAGUGACUGCUAUGUUAGUUGUGGAGGCCCUGGGUCUUCCUGACGGGGCAGCCAUGUCCAGUGUAAUGUCAGCCUCUAAGACUUCCUGCAAAAGUCCGCACCCCUGCCCACCGGCUGUCCCCUUGGAUUCCCUGCCUUUGACGUCCUCCUCCAGAUUAUCAGAGGAAGUCUCUGGAGAAAAUCAAAAUCUUGGUUUUGCUAUGGUGCCCAAGGCCGUCACUGGCAAUGACGAUGCUUACCUUUCAGACAUUGUCAAGGAACUGGAGUCUGCUGCUGGCAAAGGUGUUGGGGUUGCCUCUGGUGCCAACAGGGGAGAGAUGCUGGGAUCUCCUGCUAGGCCCCAAGGGCUCUCCUCCACAAACAAGCCCUGUGGCCAGCCCGACCUGGAUUUCCCACUAGCCAACUCUUCUUCAAAGGGGCCUGUGGCUGGGGGAGCCAGUUUGGACCCUGAGAAGGCGUCUGAGUCAAGUAAGAGACCCUUGAAACAUCGUAGGAACAGGUCCAGAGCCGCAGAGAAGCCAAAGAGGGGAGUGCUGUCCUCUGCCCAGGAGUGGGGCAGGAACGGAGGAUCCAGAGCGGAUGAUGUGGGAGGUCAGGAACCAGGCCCAGUAAGCAAAAGCAGAGAGCCCGGCAACAGCAGCGCAUUUGAGAGCAGCUUCCACUUCUCCAGCAUCCCUGGGAAGUGACUCACCCAGGACCACCCAGCUGAGAAGUGCCCAAGCAGAGAUGGCCCUGAGGGCAGUGCGCUUCGCUGUGUCUCGCUGCAGUCACAGGAGGAUGCUGUCCCUCGAACUCCUGGCCACAUCGAUCCCUACGUGGCCCGAGGCAGGGCAGGGAUCUGGGCUUAAGGCGGCUUCAGGAGGCUUGUUCUUGGGAAAAGCCAGAC